AGAUUAAAACUAAUUCUUUUAAAGUCACUACUCAGCUGAAAUUUGGCCUGAUUAUAAAUGUUGAUAAUAAUUUCUUCCUGGCUCAACAAAGUUGUUGAGCUUCCUUCUGUGCACACAUUGAAAGAAAACCAGAAAUUGUACAGUCGUGAUAUGAAUUAGAGAAGGAACAGGUGGAAAAGGAUGGCAACACACAGAGUCCGGGGGACACACGGCCUUAAGAUGAAGUGAACGAGUAGACACUGAAUAGGAUCCACGUAAAUGAACGGCCAUUUCAAAUCAUUCACAUCCCAAACGGAGGUUCAUCUGUCUUCUGGUUGGUGAAUUAUAUUUAUUAGGAUCUUAUUUUUAGCAUUUCAUUACAAGUAAUAGGUUUGGGUACCUUAUUUUUAUUGUUUUUACUCAUCAGUUAUGAAUAAGGCAUACCUUAGAAACUUGGGUUAAAUUUUUUCAAGUUAUACCAGUCAACUUGGUUUAAAUACAACUGUACUAACUUGCUUUAUCAUGUUUCCUGUUUAAUUGGAUGAGAAUUACAUGCACUUAUUCAGUUGUUCUUUGUGUUUAUAGGAAAAACUCUGUUCUCAGCUACCUCAUUAUGUAGUAUUGUGCUUGAUCCCCUGCCAAUUGAGAAGAAUUCAACACAUUCUGUUCUUUAACAAAAGCUUGGAAGCAGGCAGUCAGAGGCCUUGAGGAAUACAAUUCUCUAAGGCCUGUUUUCCAUUUUACUACUUAAAAAAAAAAAAAAAAGAAAAGAAAAAAAAGCACUUACAACCAGGAGGAAUAAUAAUUCUCCUAGAGUUGCUGCAAACUGAUUACUUGAAACUCAACUUGAACUUUAAAGAGUCUUUAAAAGGCUGUUUUCAUAAUGCAGAAAAGUAGUCUAUUUAAACGCCACUGCUGUGUAAAACAGGGGGCUCGAUUUCCAUUCUUGUUAGCAUCAGACAAGAAAAUGUGUCUAUCUGUCAUCUGACCCAGUAUUUGGGAUUUGGGUGCUUGAGGAUACUAUUUUUUUCAUUUCUUAUAAGGUGCUAUUGUUUCCCAGAAAUCUUUAAUUUUGAUGAAAAUCUACUCAUUGCUAAGAUCCUCCUCACUUAAAGUGUUUCCUCAGUGCAGAGUUGAGGUUGGCAGAACUAUAUAGAGUUGGAUGAUACUGAAAAUCAUGAAUGAUGUGAUUUGUUCCAUGUAUCUGUGGAACAUCCCUCACCUUCCUCCGGUAUGCGCCUUCUGCACUCCACACGUGGUCGCCUCCAUCCUCCCUAGUGUCUGUCAGCUUGCCUGGUCACCAAGUCAGGAGGAAGAAGAUGAGGAGGCUCACCAGUUGUAGGCAAGACUCUUCCUCUCGGGAGAUCUUGUAAUAAUGGCCCAGUUUCAGGGCACAGUUGUACACAUUCUACUUAAAUGGAGGAGUUCAGUGAUGCCGUGGCCAAAAGAGUUAUGCCCAUUUCUAAAAGCCUGGCAUAUUUGGUAUAACUUAAGCACCAGGUAAAAUCUGGUGCUUAAGUUGUACCAAGUAUAGCCAAGUUUAACUGUCGUUGUGUAUUAAUAAGAUUUAAUUUUUAUGCUUGUGCUUUUCAGAGUAAAGGGCUUGCUUUCAAUAGUAGAAUGACAAAGCUUCUCCUCCAAUGACAAUCUGUUAGCACCCUGUUGACUUAGCUCAGGACAUGAGACUGACUUAGCUCAGGACAUGAGACAUUUCCUGGAAGUGAUUUCCAUGAGAACAAAGGCUUAUUCCUUUAACUUAAACCCCAAACUUUGUUAUUUUAAUUAUUUUCAGGCAAUCAUCUUUAUAUACUUUCCUUACAAACCCAGUGGUUGAGAGCAUAGGCCUUGGUGGCAGGUGCAUCUGGGCUUGGGGGCUUCUGCCACACUUACUACUCUGUGACUUGGGAAGCUCUUAAGGCUCCCAAGGCUCCGUUUCUUAUGUGGAAGAAGAAUAGCAGGAGAAUCUCUUGAACCCAGGAGGCGGAGGUUGCGGUGAGCCGAGAUGGUGCCGUUGCACUCCAGCCGGGCAACAAGGGCUAAACUCCAUCUCAAAAGAAAAGAAAGAAAGGGAAGUAGAAGUAGGAUUUAACAAAGGACCGAGAAGUCGGCUGAAUAGCCAGGUUCAGACAGUGUUGGCAAGAACGGAUCUUUGGCAAGAUCACUUAAGGUGAGCUACUCUAGCAGCAUCCUGUUUGACAUUUGUAUCCAUAACUUGAAUAAAAAUAUAGAAGGCAAAGAAGAGUGCUGGGCAAGAUGUGUUGGGUGUUAGAUCUGCAAUACUCUUCAUAGUGUAAUGGCUAAAUGUAAAGUCUUACGUCUCGGUUCAAGAAAGCACGUUGCUAUAUGAAAUUUCAGAAAAAAGUUUUGUUGCGGGGGGUGGGAUAUUGAUCAUUUGAACAUAUGCCAGUUGUUUCUCCUGCCCUAGGGGAGGUUGGCACGGCAACCUUCCCACUCCGUAGGUGGGUAGCCUUGCUGAUGGGGCACGUCGUCACCAAGGGACCUGAUUGUUGUCAUGGUUUUGUCUUGUCCUCCUCCCUGGUGAAAGUCUACUGCAGUUUUAUUCUCAGCUCUGGAAGGAGAGGGAACGAGCCUCUGCCUGUGUGUCCUGACCCCUCUUGCCUUGUUUUUGAUCUGCUCAGGCCGGGUGCAGUGGCUCACGCCUGUAAUCCCAGCACUUUGGGAGGCAAAGGCAGGUGGAUCACUUGAGGUCAGGAGUUCAAGACUAGCCUGGCCAACAUGGUGAAACCCCGUCUCUACUAAAAAUACAAAAAUUAGCCGAGUGUGUUGGUGGGCCCCUGUAAUCCCAGCUACUCGGGAGGUUGAGGGAGGAGAAUCACUUGACCCCAGGAGGCAGAGGUUGAAGUGAGCCAGGAUUGUGCCACUGUACUCCAGCCUGGGCGACAGAGGGGGACUCUGUCUCACAAAAAAAUAAAAAAUUAAAAAAAAAGGUCUGCUCAGAAAUAGGGGAAACACGGGAUCAAGAUCAUUAGAGAUUUAUAGGCUGGGAUGCACACCAUGUCUUCAGAGCUAGCCGGCUGUGUCUUCUCCCCGUUUCUUUCACUGGUGAAUAACCUUUCGUUUGAACCAGCCUUGAUUGUUCUCUCCAUGUUCCACUGUGGCUCCCCAUGGACACUGCUAGGUGGAAUCUCUGAGAAAACAGGCACUUCGCAGUCGGCGCAUCUUUCUCUGCCAGCUUAGGGAUUGCCGUCAAGGUGGAGGAAGGGUAUUUUGGCCAUGUUCGGAGUCGUUGUUUUUACUCACUCUUCUUGGGAUAGCUUUCCCACCCUGCCCUCUGCUCCUCUGUCCCAACCCUCUUCCAGCCUGGUUUUUUUACUGCUUGAAUUAUGUAUCCAAAAUAAAAAGGAAAAGAAAGGUGCAGUUGGGGCGGGUUGUUGGGGGCGAGGAGAAUAGCCCUUCUGGUUCUUCAGACCACAUAAUGGCCAGAGCAUGAGCCUCACAGAUCCCUGAGCAGACCUGCAUACUAGCACUUUCCACAACCAGCUGGCCCUGGCUGUGAGAGUCAGAUCUGUCCCCAAGGCUCCAGGUCAGAACUUGGACCCAGGUGCCUUCUGAGGCACCGCCAAGGACACAUCCCAGCGCCUUAGGCACCUGUAGGCUAGAAUGACACCUUCCAGGCCAGCCCCAGAGGCCCUCAGGGCUCCCCCUCCAAGCCGGGAGGGCAGGCAGGCACAGGCCCCGCUCACUACCUCAGCACCCAGUGCAGCCCCAGGCUCCCGGACGUGCUCGGCCCGGUGGCCUCUUGUGUGACAGGCCCUCUGCCAUGUCUGUCCGCAGAGCCGGGUGGGGACCCUCCGUGUGGGUCCUCCUCUGUCCCUUUGCAGCUCGCAUUCGCCAGAGCGGAGCGCAGCCCUUGUUUCCUUCUUUCCUCUUCAGCUCUGACUUAAAAACACACUAUGUUCCAAAUCGUUGUGGGAUCGGAAACUAGAACUGCUUGUUUCCAGGAGAGACCACCUUUUCAUAUUUUUUUUAAAAGGAAUUUGUGCUUCAAAAGAAACUCCAAAAAAUAAAUUUAUUGUUAGUCUAGCAUAUGCUCAUUGAAAUUGACUUAUGUUUUAUUUUAAAAAAUCAUGUAGGAUCUGGUACAUGGGGCGGGCAAAAGGGUAUCAUCAGCUUAAGAAGUAAAGAAGUGAGCCUUCCAUUUGUGUGGGUGAUAACAUCUUUUUCCUAGAUCGUACCUCAAAAUUCAGGCUCUCCAUGAAAACAAAGAUAAUCUGAAUAAAAAUUGUGUGUUGGGAAAUGUAUCAAGUGACCUUCAGUUAAGAAAAGCACAGGCUGUUUAUUAGCACAACUUGCUUCAUUAAAUAAUUCGUGGCUUUUUCUGCCACUGGGGUUCUUUUCGUUUUGAAUUCAGCUUGUGUUUGGUUCCUCGGUCUUGUACCCCUUCAGUUCGCCGGCGACGUAAUGGUGAUACCCUUUGUUUUUUGUAUCAUACCUUUUGUGAAUUGUGACAACCAUCCCGUAAUCAUUGUGGCCUCAGCAGAAGUUUUGAACAAUCUUUGCAGCCACUGUUGGGGUGUGUACCAGCAGCCUGGAAGUGACCAGCAGAGCUGACAAAAGCACCCCCUGCUCUGCCCACCUCCGCAGAGUCCUGUCCUCAUCAGAAACGGUAUCGCGGAUGCUCCUCAGGUAGGCGUAGGCAGACUUCAUUGUGUGUUAGCAGUGACAGUGAUGUCUGUACCUAUCUGUGAGUGAGACCCAUUCAUGACACACUAGAAAUGUGUACAUUCUUUUGUUUUCCAUCACGGGUAUAGGUCUUCUGCCAUGAAAGAGAACUAUCAAGGAAAUUCCUGAAAACAAGAUUUGUAAAUUCGAUUUGACCCUCCCAAAUUCAGGGCUGCUCUUUGCAGUGGUCCCUGGCCCAGCAGGUGGCCGGCGUGGCUCCUGUUGGCUCAUGCCAGUGUUGUGCUGGACCCUCGAGUAUGUGACUGUCACCCUUGUCCAAGACUGGUUUUUAACAGUCUUGAUUUGUCAUUUUGAUGCUUUGAAUACUAUAAGGAAAAUGCCACGAAUACCAUAUAAAUACCACACCAAUCUGUUGAACAUAUCUGUGUUUUCUGACAUGGGACCUGCAGAAUAGUAUUUCUUUUAAAUCCUGCAACUUUAUUAUCUAGUAGAAUUCCAAGUAGGUCUGCUUAGACACAUAUUCAGUGAAGAUUGUAUUGUGUGUGAUAUUAUCCUAUCUUUAAUAAAGUCCUACUACUGAAAAACAGGGAUUUGCAAUGAAAAUCAUAGCUAAAUAGGCAGGUUUAGAAAGUUCAAAAUAUUGGAAGUGCUAGAAGGCUGCAACUUGUAAAAUUGUACUCCCCAAGUUCAGUAGGAUAGUAGAGAAGUCGUGCUAAGUUGAUUUCAUUGAAAUGUCACGUCUCACAUCCUGUGGUCCAAAGGUACUAGUUUGUUUUGUGGAAUAAUUUUCUGUUCACUUGCUGAUAAGAAAUUUAGCAGUCAGAAGUAAUUUUUAAUUAAUAACCUUUCUUUUUAAAAGUUGCUUUAUGGUUUACAAGUAAUACUGAUGCAAAAAGGAUUUGUUAACCUAAAUUAAGUAGCACGCACUUUGUUUACAUGCUUCAGUAUAUUGUGGGGUUGGUCCCUUCUCACGAACCCAGGACCUGUGCUUGGGGAACAUUUUGCCAUCAUGCUGUUCUCUUGUACCAAGGAUCAGUGAAAGUGUUUUAUCUUUUUUAUGUAGUUUGUAUUGACUGGAUUUUAUAACUGUAAGAAAACAGAAACAGAGUGUUGUAUUUUGAUCUGAAAUUUGUGUAUGCUAAAGUAAUUUUGUUUUAUGUAUUGGAAGUUCACUUAAAAACUUGAAAUAUUUUCUAGAAGGGUACCACACAAAAGGAAUCAUCUUUAAGCUGUUUAAUUAACCUAAUAAAAUAAUUUGAUGGG
Molecule: long non-coding RNA, 5886 nt
Filed under: Homo sapiens (human)
Lineage: Eukaryota; Metazoa; Chordata; Mammalia; Primates; Hominidae
Description: HSALNT0387297
Source: RNAcentral